UGGGGAAUAUUGGACAAUGGGCGAAAGCCUGAUCCAGCCAUGCCGCAUGUGUGAAGAAGGCCUUUUGGUUGUAAAGCACUUUAAGUGGGGAGGAAAAGCUUAUGGUUAAUACCCAUAAGCCCUGACGUUACCCACAGAAUAAGCACCGGCUAACUCUGUGCCAGCAGCCGCGGUAAUACAGAGGGUGCAAGCGUUAAUCGGAAUUACUGGGCGUAAAGCGCGCGUAGGUGGUUAUUUAAGUCAGAUGUGAAAGCCCCGGGCUUAACCUGGGAACUGCAUCUGAUACUGGAUAACUAGAGUAGGUGAGAGGGGAGUAGAAUUCCAGGUGUAGCGGUGAAAUGCGUAGAGAUCUGGAGGAAUACCGAUGGCGAAGGCAGCUCCCUGGCAUCAUACUGACACUGAGGUGCGAAAGCGUGGGUAGCAAACAGGAUUAGAUACCCUGGUAGUCCACGCCGUAAACGAUGUCUACCAGUCGUUGGGUCUUUUAAAGACUUAGUGACGCAGUUAACGCAAUAAGUAGACCGCCUGGGGAGUACGGCCGCAAGGUUA
Molecule: ribosomal RNA, 549 nt
Filed under: uncultured bacterium
Lineage: Bacteria
Description: bacterial SSU rRNA
Rfam family: Bacterial small subunit ribosomal RNA
Source: RNAcentral